RNAcentral lists this long non-coding RNA (273 nucleotides) under Chinchilla lanigera (long-tailed chinchilla). RNAcentral's name for it is "lncRNA (ENSCLAG00000027072.1)". Lineage: Eukaryota; Metazoa; Chordata; Mammalia; Rodentia; Chinchillidae. The record is from RNAcentral.
AAAGUAGAACCAUGUUGUCUUAUUUUCCUCCUUACAUAGAAACUUCUAGAGAACUCUCUACUACAACAACCUCUGCCACAACAACCACUAAGAAAGUAGUUGCCCCUGAUAACAUCAAUUCGGAGCCCAUAACUUUCUCAGCAACCAGUGAAACAGUAUCAGUACCAGGAGCCAAGACCAGUGCACCAGGGAGCCGAGUCUCUGACAGUCAAAUAAGUAAGCAUGAAAAAAUACGGGUAUGUCCCUGAUAUGUACCAAAAUCCAGAACAAGGA